UACGUAGGGUGCGAGCGUUGUCCGGAAUUAUUGGGCGUAAAGGGCUCGUAGGCGGUUUGUUGCGUCGGGAGUGAAAACUCAGGGCUUAACCCUGAGCCUGCUUCCGAUACGGGCAGACUAGAGGUAUGCAGGGGAGAACGGAAUUCCUGGUGUAGCGGUGAAAUGCGCAGAUAUCAGGAGGAACACCGGUGGCGAAGGCGGUUCUCUGGGCAUUACCUGACGCUGAGGAGCGAAAGUGUGGGGAGCGAACAGGAUUAGAAACCCGUAGUAGU
Molecule: ribosomal RNA, 272 nt
Filed under: uncultured bacterium
Lineage: Bacteria
Description: partial 16S ribosomal RNA
Rfam family: Bacterial small subunit ribosomal RNA
Source: RNAcentral